CCUACGGGAGGCAGCAGUGAGGAAUAUUGGUCAAUGGACGAGAGUCUGAACCAGCCAAGUAGCGUGAAGGAUGACUGCCCUAUGGGUUGUAAACCUCUUUUAUAUGGGAAUAAAACGUUCCACGUGUGGGAUUUUGUAUGUACCAUAUGAAUAAGCAUCGGCUAACUCCGUGCCAGCAGCCGCGGUAAUACGGAGGAUCCGAGCGUUAUCCGGAUUUAUUGGGUUUAAAGGGAGCGUAGGUGGAUUGUUAAGUGAGUUGUGAAAGUUUGCGGCUCAACCGUAAAAUUGCAGUUGAAACUGGCAGUCUUGAGUACAGUAGAGGUGGGCGGAAUUCGUGGUGUAGCGGUGAAAUGCUUAGAUAUCACGAAGAACUCCGAUUGCGAAGGCAGUUCACUGGACUGCAACUGACACUGAGGCUCGAAAGUGUGGGUAUCAAACAGGAUUAGAUACCCCUGUAGUC
Molecule: ribosomal RNA, 460 nt
Filed under: uncultured bacterium
Lineage: Bacteria
Description: partial 16S ribosomal RNA
Rfam family: Bacterial small subunit ribosomal RNA
Source: RNAcentral